This 2950-nucleotide long non-coding RNA is filed under the name Podarcis lilfordi (Lilford's wall lizard). The record is from RNAcentral. Lineage: Eukaryota; Metazoa; Chordata; Lepidosauria; Squamata; Lacertidae.
AGGGUGGUUGCCUGGGUGAGCAGUAUAAGCAAUUGAGAACUCCUUGGCUGAGGAGUGGGAUAAAAAUGUAAUGACUAAUUAUCCCAAACAGAUUACUUCUAUGGUGUUUUUAUUUGAACCUGCCUUGGGCUGCUUCCACACUCAAGUCCUUUCAACUGCUGAGGCACUGUUGUUCUGCAAUUAGCUGUGACUGGGAUUAAAAACAGAGGUACCACAGAUCGCUUAAUAUAAUAGCUCUAUGUUACCCGGCAACGCUAUGAUCUUCUGUAAUACGUGCCAGAGGCACCAACUUGUGCCGAAGAUGGAGAGGGCCAGAUGAUGCCACAAUGCUCAGUGUUGUUUGUGAUGUCACACAUGUGAUGCACGGUGUCGUGUGUGAUGUCACACCCGUGGCAUAUGACAUCAUGGGAUGUUGGGGGAGGAACCAGGGGGCGGAGAUAGCUGACAGCUAUUCCUCUCUUGCACUCGAAAGCUUUCCAUGACAGGAGAAGCAAAAACCAACCACACUUGGCUCUUCAACUGGGGUUUUUUUGGUAUGUUUUUAGUUGUUUCUGUUUCAGUCCUGUCAGGGAAAAGACGAGUUACUGAUACUAAUACUAAUACUAAUGCUAAUACUAAUACUAAUACUAAUACUAAUGUUGUUGUUUAGUCGUUUAGUCGUGUCCAACUCUUCAUGACCCCAUGGACCAGUGCACGCCAGGCACUCCUGUCUUCCACUGCCUACCGCAGUUUGGUCAAAUUCAUGUUCGUAGCUUUGAGAACACUGUCCAACCAUCUCGUCCUCUGUCGUCCCCUUCUCCUUGUGCCCUCCAUCUUUCCCAACAUCAGGGUCUUUUCCAGGGAGUCUUCUCUUCUCAUGAGGUGGCCAAAGUAUUGGAGCCUCAGCUUCAGGAUCUGUCCUUCCAGUGAGCACUCAGGGCUGAUUUCCUUCAGAAUGGAUAGGUUGGAUCUUCUUGCAGUCCAUGGGACUCUCAAAAGUCUCCUCCAGCACCAUAAUUCAAAAGCAUCAAUUCUUCAGCGAGCAGCCUUCUUUAUGGUCCAGCUUUCACUUCCAUACAUCACUACUGGGAAACUAAUACUAAUACUAAUUUAUCACAAGUGUCUACUUGUUAGGGCUUUAUUCCUGUUUCAAAUGUCUAUUGUUUUUGCAUUUUUAACUGUUUUUAUGUGCAAAUUGCCUUUGAAAUGGUGGUUUAGAAGAUGAUUAAAAAAGCAAUUGUAACAACAACAACACUAAAUUGCCCCAAUUUUUGUUCUCAGACAGGUCGGGAAGCCUUUAAUUACUGGUUUUCUUGCAUUACCUUUUUCUUUUCAUUUUCCCCCAACAAAGACCACUAUUUCACUAUUGAAAGAAAAAAAUAUGGGGGGGGCAGGGGAAUAAUAAGAGGAAACCAGAAAUUAAGGCUGCUAACUACCCCUGGAAUAGAAAGCAACUCUGGAACACAAUUAGCAGGUUAUUCAUCCCAAAUUACCUAGCUGUGGUCGACAGUCAAGAACUGCAGACAAAAUAUUUUAAAUUAAAGGCAAUACUUGAGUAACGCUUUUGUUUGCCUGCCGAAUAGGCUGGUACAAGCAGUUAGGUAUUACUGCAAUUAUUUGGACAUAGAAAUAAGGAACGUGGAAAUAGAUAUUGACAAGUUGACAACAGCAACUGUUCUCUCACUAAAAAGAGAAUGAGCAAAGGAUGGGGGAAGCUGUGGACUUUUGCUCUUGCUUGGCUUGGGAAAGGUACUUCUGGGCUUCUUUAAAGGAUGCCUCAGAAAACAACCCUGUUCCUACCUUUCUCCUGCUCAGAUCCCAGCUCCACUGCUCACCCAGCCAUUGAAAAACCAUCAAAACCCUUCAAAUCACUUAAGAAAAAGAAGGUACUUUUUAUCAUAUGCGGUGGACGUGUCCUAAGGUGAAAGACUUCUGGGAAAAGAUUUAUAAUGAGUUGAAAAAAAUGUUGAAAAAUACAUUUAUUAAGAAAGCAGAAGCCUUUCUACUUGGAAUACUAGGACUGGAAUUGCCCAAAAAAGAUGUUAGACUGUUUUUGUAUGCCACUACAGCAAGGGAUGUGGGUGGCGCUGUGGGUUAAACCACAGAGCCUAGGACUUGCCGAUCAGAAGGUCGGCGGUUCGAAUCCCCGCGACGGGGUGAGCUCCUGUUGCUCGGUCCCUGCUCCUGCCAACCUAGCAGUUUGAAAGCACGUCAAAGUGCAAGUAGAUAAAUAGGUACCACUCUGGCGGGAAGGUAAACGGCGUUUCCGUGUGCUGCUCUGGUUCACCAGAAGCGGCUUAGUCCUGCUGGCCACAUGAUCCGGAAGCUGUACGCCGGCUCCCUCGGCCAAUAAAGUGAGAUGAGUGCCGCAAACCCAGAGUUGGUCACGACUGGACCUAAUGAUCAGGGGUCCCUUUACCUUUUUACAGCAGCAAGACUUUUAUUAGCCAAAAACUGGAAAUCGCAAGAAAUACCAACAAUAGAAGAAUGGCAGAUGAAGAUGUUGGACUUUUUGGAGCUGGGUGACCUGACUGGAAGAAUCCAUGACCAGAAAGAAGAGGAGAUACAAGAGGAUAGGAAGAAAUUUAAAGAAUAUUUAGCUAAAUAUUGUGAUAUAAGAUAAAUAGAAAAUUCUUGGAAAUAAUAAAUAGGCUUAGGGGGUAGAAUAAGAAAAUGUGGUAGUAAAUAUUAAGGAUUAAAAUAUUAAUAAAGGAGAAGAGGUUAGUAAAUGAAAGGAGUUCAUAUUAUUAGAAAUAUGAAUUUGGAGAACUGUUAUACAGGUGACAUAAUGAAAUUCAGUUAGAGCGGAUUCGAGGAAGUCAGUUAUCAAUGUAAUGAGAAUUAGGUAUUUGAAGAAACAAUUUUUCUUUGUGCUUAGUUUAUUGCAGUGUAAUGUGUUUUUCUUUGCUGUGUAUUUUGUUAUGUCAUUUUUGUGAUAGAUGUGGAAAAUCAAUAAAAAAUUGGGGGGGGG